RNAcentral lists this ribosomal RNA (173 nucleotides) under Clavispora lusitaniae. RNAcentral's name for it is "partial 28S rRNA". Lineage: Eukaryota; Fungi; Ascomycota; Pichiomycetes; Serinales; Metschnikowiaceae. The record is from RNAcentral.
AAGCAGACACGGUUUUACCGGGCCAGCGUCGAAAAGGGGGGAGGAACAAGAACUCGAGAAUGUGGCGCGCACCUUCGGGUGCGCGUGUUAUAGCUCGUGUUGACGCCUCCAUCCCUUUUCGAGGCCUGCGAUUCUAGGACGCUGGCGUAAUGGUUGCAAGCCGCCCGUCUUGA